UUUCUUGUGUGGUGCUUCUCUGCCUGCCCGCGGGCUCUGCCGGCUCUGCGCUCAGCAUCCCCACCCGCACAGUUGUCUCUGCCGCUGGCGUUUCUGGCUAAGCUGCCUCUGAAGGAGGGGCAGGUCUGCCAUCCCUAAACACACACAGAGAAACACACACACACAUGCACACACUCCCACACACACACGAAGAUGCACCUUCCUGCAAGGCCCAGACACAGAGCCGCCAAGCCCCAGGUGCCCACACUGAGCGGCAGGGAGUGGGAGAGGGGCAGGGGCAGGAGGAGAGAGCUGCAGAGAGAAAGACUGAGGGUGCAAAACAAAUGCGGAGCCGAGCAGACAUUUCUCAGCCUGUUAAUUUCCUACAGUUCUGUUUUCCAGCCUCAGAAACAAGCUGGUUUCUGCCAGUCCACCCCCUUCCCUCUGACUGCAUUGUGCAGCUGCUGAGCAGAGAGAAGUUGCAGGGAGGAGGGGGUUCCAGAGGAGAAGCGAAGAGACUCAGGUUUUCAUACGAUUUAUCAAAGUACAGGCAAGAUGCAGAGAUGCUUCUGAAGCUGUGACCCCAAAAAGAAGCUCAACUGGGAGAUUUGCAGCCUGGACCAGUCUAACCCUACAGGUCUGGGCUUCAGGAAGAAGGGAACCUGGGGGUGCUGCAGGGAAUACUUUGGAGGAGGCUGUUUCAACGGGCUCAGCAACUCCCUCGGUUUGACCCCUGACACAAGCAUGCCUGCUGAAUCUACACCUGGACCUAAAGACUUGUAGAGUCCUUUCUGGGGCUGGAUGUUCCCACAGGACAAUUACCAGUCAUGCAUACAGAGCUUUGCUGCCCAAGGGGACUUUCUGAGGGCUGAAUAUUAUUUACUUCAACUCUCCUUUGACAAGGCACCUGAGGCCCAGAUGGGGAAAGUCACACAGGACUGUGAUGGGGCCUGAUCGAGAUCUCCUGAAUCUUCCCAGUGCUGCUUGCUGUGCUUUGUGGCCCUUCCUCUGGCUGUAACUGUAAUCCCACCUAUACCUUAGGUUGCACAUGCUCAUACAGCGCUUACCAUGAGCCACCCUCUGAGGCAGGUACUGUUAUGAUUCCCAUUUUACAGCUGGGGAGGCUGAGGCUCAGAGAGGUUAAAUACUUCCCUAAGCUAGUAUGUGGUCGAGCUAGAAUUUGAAACCAGAAUGUCCUGCCCCAGAAUCUAGACUCCUAACCACUGGGCUGUGCUACCUCUCUUCUCUGGAAGCUUCACCUGUACCUGGACACAUUUACCUUCACUUUCCUCUUCUCCUGUCCUUAGCUUUCACCACCACCUUCACAAUUUCUCAUUUCAGGCUAAGCCAGAUAAUCACCCCAGACACAAGGGCAGGCUCAGCACUGCUAUCAAAAUCCCUUUUCCUUUUAUCUUCUCCAUCACCAUCUUAGCCUUAUCGCGUUCACUAUCAUGAUCAACUUCACCAUUUAUAAAGUCUCUAAUUGCAAAUGACUGUGUACCUAUAGACCAAUGCAGAUCUAACCCCUGCCUUGGGAUGGGAGGAUGGGGCUUACAGUCAAACCAAACAGCAGUUUAAGCCACAUAUACUCCUCCCUUUGUAAGUAAAGGUACGAAACCAGAAUGUGGAAGGCAGUCUUCUUCUUAAGAGAUUUUUCUGCAAUAAGAUGGAGGUGGUGAAGGAGAAGUUUCGAACAGCCAAAGAGUGCCUGCUGAGGGAAAUUAAUCAAUGGCCAAGAAGAUUGCUUGUCAUCUUUCAAUAUCUAUAAGAAAUAACGAGCCUCCAGAGAGGGAGCUAGAGCUCCAAGGGAAAAGAAGACCAGUGGGUACUCUGUCCAACUCAUGCCUCUAAGGAGCUACAGGAGAAAGAUGGAGCCAUAGGCAGCUUCCACCCCUUUGGAUGGUGGCCAACACCCAUCUCCCCAGCCACAGUAUCUCUCACAGCCCCUGGGGAAGCCAGAAGCAAGCAACACUGCCCAGGAGUUUUAAAACUGAUUCUUCCCUUAAGCUCAAGUCCCACCCACCUCCCAACCCAGUGAGCUUGCUGGUUGGCUGUCCAUGAGUGUUGGCUGCCAGAUGUGCCAUCAUCCGGCACAGGAUGUACAGGAAAGAGGGCAAUGGCUUCCCGGACCAGAGUCUCCACCCAGAAUUCCAGCCAAGGCCCCAGAGCUCCCAGGACCUGGAGAAUUUGUUCCCCCUGGUUGUGUUUGGAAUUGGCUGGUUUUCUGGGCACCAGGCCCAGCUCAGUUUAAUUUUUGUUUAUUUUUAUGUACAGAUUCUCUUCUGUUUGGGGAUGAGCUUUGUGUAA
RNAcentral lists this long non-coding RNA (2286 nucleotides) under Homo sapiens (human). RNAcentral describes it as "HSALNT0095471". Lineage: Eukaryota; Metazoa; Chordata; Mammalia; Primates; Hominidae. The record is from RNAcentral.